GCACUGCUGACGACUCCCAACUAGGACGAAACAACUGUCCAGUGC
This 45-nucleotide non-coding RNA is filed under the name Echinostoma caproni. The record is from RNAcentral. Lineage: Eukaryota; Metazoa; Platyhelminthes; Trematoda; Plagiorchiida; Echinostomatidae.